Cyprinus carpio (common carp) is the source of this 265-nucleotide long non-coding RNA. RefSeq lists it as uncharacterized. The transcript is spliced from 3 exons. NCBI's taxonomy places the organism in Eukaryota, Metazoa, Chordata, Actinopteri, Cypriniformes, Cyprinidae. The record is from RefSeq and is a predicted model, not a curated record.
AUUGUCUUCUAAUUCACUACACAGGCAAGGGCCUUUUUCUCUUUACUGGACAGCCUGGUUGAGCUGUCCACAAUCCAAACUGUGAAAUUAAGAAAUAAUGGUCUGAGUUCUGAGCAGAUUGAGUAUUUUAUUAAACAGUUCAGUAGCUGUCACCAACACAGAGACUUCAGGAUUGAGAGAGCCGUGGCUGACAGGAAAUGCUGUUGUCAGUCUCAUUGCCAAAUGCCUCAAUCUGCAGCCACACAUCAAAGAAAUCAGUGUGCGG